UCUUCCCUCUUUCCUCGUGCCUAAUACAUGCAAGUCGAGCGAACAGACGAGGAGCUUGCUCCUCUGACGUUAGCGGCGGACGGGUGAGUAACACGUGGAUAACCUACCUAUAAGACUGGGAUAACUUCGGGAAACCGGAGCUAAUACCGGAUAAUAUAUUGAACCGCAUGGUUCAAUAGUGAAAGACGGUUUUGCUGUCACUUAUAGAUGGAUCCGCGCCGCAUUAGCUAGUUGGUAAGGUAACGGCUUACCAAGGCGACGAUGCGUAGCCGACCUGAGAGGGUGAUCGGCCACACUGGAACUGAGACACGGUCCAGACUCCUACGGGAGGCAGCAGUAGGGAAUCUUCCGCAAUGGGCGAAAGCCUGACGGAGCAACGCCGCGUGAGUGAUGAAGGUCUUCGGAUCGUAAAACUCUGUUAUUAGGGAAGAACAAAUGUGUAAGUAACUAUGCACGUCUUGACGGUACCUAAUCAGAAAGCCACGGCUAACUACGUG
RNAcentral lists this ribosomal RNA (497 nucleotides) under uncultured bacterium. RNAcentral's name for it is "partial 16S ribosomal RNA". It matches the Rfam family "Bacterial small subunit ribosomal RNA", at positions 36 to 507 of the family's 1533-position model. The record is from RNAcentral.